AUUGAACGCUGGCGGCAGGCCUAACACAUGCAAGUCGAGCGGAUGAAGGGAGCUUGCUCCUGGAUUCAGCGGCGGACGGGUGAGUAAUGCCUAGGAAUCUGCCUGGUAGUGGGGGAUAACGUCCGGAAACGGGCGCUAAUACCGCAUACGUCCUGAGGGAGAAAGUGGGGGAUCUUCGGACCUCACGCUAUCAGAUGAGCCUAGGUCGGAUUAGCUAGUUGGUGGGGUAAAGGCCUACCAAGGCGACGAUCCGUAACUGGUCUGAGAGGAUGAUCAGUCACACUGGAACUGAGACACGGUCCAGACUCCUACGGGAGGCAGCAGUGGGGAAUAUUGGACAAAGGGCGAAAGCCUGAUCCAGCCAUGCCGCGUGUGUGAAGAAAGUCUUCGGAUUGUAAAGCACUUUAAGUUGGGAGGAAGGGCAGUAAGUUAAUACCUUGCUGUUUUGACGUUACCAACAGAAUAAGCACCGGCUAACUUCGUG
This 484-nucleotide ribosomal RNA is filed under the name uncultured bacterium. RNAcentral's name for it is "partial 16S ribosomal RNA". It matches the Rfam family "Bacterial small subunit ribosomal RNA", at positions 30 to 507 of the family's 1533-position model. The record is from RNAcentral.